CAGCCGCCGCGGUAAUACGGAGGGUGCAAGCGUUAAUCGGAAUUACUGGGCGUAAAGCGUGCGCAGGCGGUUUUGUAAGACAGAGGUGAAAUCCCCGGGCUCAACCUGGGAACUGCCUUUGUGACUGCAAGGCUAGAGUACGGCAGAGGGGGAUGGAAUUCCGCGUGUAGCAGUGAAAUGCGUAGAUAUGCGGAGGAACACCGAUGGCGAAGGCAAUCCCCUGGGCCUGUACUGACGCUCAUGCACGAAAGCGUGGGGAGCAAACAGGAUUAGAUACCCCCGUAGUCCCUGUCUCUUAUAC
RNAcentral lists this ribosomal RNA (301 nucleotides) under uncultured bacterium. RNAcentral describes it as "partial 16S ribosomal RNA". It matches the Rfam family "Bacterial small subunit ribosomal RNA", at positions 509 to 807 of the family's 1533-position model. The record is from RNAcentral.